RNAcentral lists this ribosomal RNA (253 nucleotides) under uncultured bacterium. RNAcentral describes it as "partial 16S ribosomal RNA". It matches the Rfam family "Bacterial small subunit ribosomal RNA", at positions 524 to 777 of the family's 1533-position model. The record is from RNAcentral.
UACGUAGGGUGCAAGCGUUAAUCGGAAUUACUGGGCGUAAAGCGUGCGCAGGCGGUUUGGUAAGACAGAUGUGAAAUCCCCGGGCUUAACCUGGGAAUUGCAUUUGUGACUGCCCGGCUAGAGUGUGUCAGAGGGGGGUAGAAUUCCACGCGUAGCAGUGAAUGCGUAGAUAUGUGGAGGAAUACCGAUGGCGAAGGCAGCCCCCUGGGAUAACACUGACGCUCAGGCACGAAAGCGUGGGGAGCAAACAGGG